AUUGAACGCUGGCGGCAGGCCUAACACAUGCAAGUCGAGCGGUAGAGAGAAGCUCGCUUCUCUUGAGAGCGGCGGACGGGUGAGUAAUGCCUAGGAAUCUGCCUGGUAGUGGGGGAUAACGUUCGGAAACGGACGCUAAUACCGCAUACGUCCUACGGGAGAAAGCAGGGGACCUUCGGGCCUUGCGCUAUCAGAUGAGCCUAGGUCGGAUUAGCUAGUUGGUGGGGUAAUGGCUCACCAAGGCGACGAUCCGUAACUGGUCUGAGAGGAUGAUCAGUCACACUGGAACUGAGACACGGUCCAGACUCCUACGGGAGGCAGCAGUGGGGAAUAUUGGACAAUGGGCGAAAGCCUGAUCCAGCCAUGCCGCGUGUGUGAAGAAGGUCUUCGGAUUGUAAAGCACUUUAAGUUGGGAGGAAGGGCAGUAAAUUAAUACUUUGCUGUUUUGACGUUACCGACAGAAUAAGCACCGGCUAACUCUGUGCCAGCAGCCGCCGUAA
This 500-nucleotide ribosomal RNA is filed under the name uncultured bacterium. RNAcentral describes it as "partial 16S ribosomal RNA". It matches the Rfam family "Bacterial small subunit ribosomal RNA", at positions 30 to 523 of the family's 1533-position model. The record is from RNAcentral.